Molecule: transfer RNA, 66 nt
Filed under: Pseudognaptodon sp. QL-2014
Lineage: Eukaryota; Metazoa; Arthropoda; Insecta; Hymenoptera; Braconidae
Description: tRNA-Arg
Source: RNAcentral
AAUUAAGAAACAAAUAAAUUGUAUUCAAGUUCGGUUUGAAAAUUAGAUUAAUAUAAUCCUUAAUUG